CUAAAAUAACCGGGAUCGGGUUAGAGAGAAGUAUUAAUGAGAGAGACUACGAUGAUCCUGCAAUUAAAAAAAGUAACCGAAGGACCCCGAUAUCAUCAUCUAGAAAAAACAAAAACACGAAGUUUUGGAUCACAAAAAACUCGUUUGACCACAUAAAAUUAAACUCAAAUAAACCAGAAUUAUCGGAGUUAAUACCACCGGAUACCAAUAAAGUUCCCCGAAACUGGUGGUAUUUCAAUGAGGAUGAUUUAAGUCAACUCCAAGCCACACUGUGACCACCGUACGACGUAUAUUAAUUCGAUUUUUCAUGUAGUUGACUGUACAAAUAUUAGAACGAAUAUAUU
Long non-coding RNA from Cydia fagiglandana, 344 nucleotides. RefSeq lists it as uncharacterized. The transcript has 3 exons. The record is from RefSeq and is a predicted model, not a curated record. NCBI's taxonomy places the organism in Eukaryota, Metazoa, Arthropoda, Insecta, Lepidoptera, Tortricidae.